CACAGGUUAGUGCAUCAGGAAGUGCGCUUUUAUCUAUCCUCAAACAUUGGGAGUCCCGAGGAAGGCUGAGGUGUGAGCGGCAUCAUGGGUUCUCCAGGCCUGUGUACACAAUACAGACAAGGGAAAGUGGCUUCUAUGGGUUUCUCCGCACUAUCCCAGUAGGAGUACGGAUUUUGAUCUUGGAAGGUGGUCAAGUGAGCGAUAGUUUUGCUGAGAUCAUGAACAGAAACAGCAUAGGAAACCAUACCUACAUGGAUACAGAAUUCUAUUGGUCCAUGGGUUCUGCUUCAAGAGGAGCCAGCAAUAGUGAAGCCACUCAAGUGAUGAACCCGAUCGCAUGCUUGCAUCUGGAUGAUAUCCUUUUAUUCACUGUGACCAGACACCAUUAUCCGCAGUAUGAUGUGUUUUGCCUGCUGGAGGAGAUUGCUAUGACAUCGGACCGUUCUUUCCUACUGAUCCACAUCACAUGAUUCGGAUGGGCAUAACCCUCCAACGCCAGCUCCUGCUGCGACCCGACUGGUGGGUGAUUGGAGGUCUCUUAGCUGGAGCUACAGUUGUGCUCUGCUUGUGUCUUGCAGUACUGAUCUUGUUCAGAGAGCACGGCUGGCCAGAGAAGCUGCCUUCUCAGGCCAGGUACCGGGAACUACAGCUCAAGUACAACAUGGAUGACUAUUCAUCAAAAGGUUCCAGGGUCAUAGCACUGAAAAAGAUGCACAGAAACUUAACGGUCGGGAUGAACGAGGAUCCAGUGCUGAGAG
This is a long non-coding RNA of Ictalurus punctatus (channel catfish), 758 nucleotides long. NCBI's taxonomy places the organism in Eukaryota, Metazoa, Chordata, Actinopteri, Siluriformes, Ictaluridae. The record is from Ensembl.